Molecule: ribosomal RNA, 301 nt
Filed under: uncultured bacterium
Lineage: Bacteria
Description: partial 16S ribosomal RNA
Rfam family: Bacterial small subunit ribosomal RNA
Source: RNAcentral
CAGUCGCCACGGUAAUACGAAGGUCCCGAGCGUUGUUCGGAAUCACUGGGCGUAAAGGGAGCGUAGGCGGCGUGGUAAGUCAGAUGUGAAAUCCCGGGGCUCAACCCCGGAACUGCAUCCGAUACUGCCAUGCUAGAGGAUUGGAGAGGUAGCUGGAAUUCUUGGUGUAGCAGUGAAAUGCGUGGAGAUCAAGAGGAACACUCGUGGCGAAAGCGAGCUACUGGACAAUAACUGACGCUGAGGCUCGAAGGCCAGGGUAGCGAAAGGGAUUAGAUACCCGGGUAGUCCCUGUCUCUUAUAC